GCACAAGCGGUGGAGCAUGUGGUUUAAUUCGAUGAUACGCGAGGAACCUUACCUGGGCUCAAAUGUAUGUUGACGUAUUCUGAAAGGGAUACUUCUUCGGACAAUAUACAAGGUGCUGCAUGGUUGUCGUCAGCUCGUGCCGUGAGGUGUCGGGUUAAGUCCCAUAACGAGCGCAACCCCUAUCAUUAGUUGCCAUCAGGUAAUGCUGGGGACUCUAAAGGAACUGCCUACGCAAGUAGUGAGGAAGGCGGGGAUGACGUCAAAUCAGCACGGCCCUUACGUCCAGGGCUACACACGUGCUACAAUGGCCGAUACAGAGGGCAGCUACCUGGUGACAGGAUGCAAAUCUCCAAAGUCGGUCUCAGUUCGGAUCGGAGUCUGCAACCCGACUCCGUGAAGUUGGAUUCGCUAGUAAUCGCGCAUCAGCCAUGGCGCGGUGAAUACGUUCCCGGGCCUU
Molecule: ribosomal RNA, 457 nt
Filed under: uncultured Sphingobacteriales bacterium
Lineage: Bacteria; Pseudomonadati; Bacteroidota; Sphingobacteriia; Sphingobacteriales
Description: bacterial SSU rRNA
Rfam family: Bacterial small subunit ribosomal RNA
Source: RNAcentral